UACGUAGGGUGCGAGCGUUAAUCGGAAUUACUGGGCGUAAAGCGUGCGCAGGCGGUUCGCCAAGUCAGGUGUGAAAUCCCCGGGCUCAACCUGGGAAUUGCGCUUGAAACUAGCGAGCUUGAGUGUGGCAGAGGGGGGUGGAAUUCCACGUGUAGCAGUGAAAUGCGUAGAGAUCCGGAGGAACACCAGUGGCGAAGGCGACACGCUGGGCCAUACCUGACGCUAAAGCGCGACAGCAUGGGGAGCAAACGGG
This 253-nucleotide ribosomal RNA is filed under the name uncultured bacterium. RNAcentral describes it as "partial 16S ribosomal RNA". It matches the Rfam family "Bacterial small subunit ribosomal RNA", at positions 524 to 776 of the family's 1533-position model. The record is from RNAcentral.